RNAcentral lists this long non-coding RNA (426 nucleotides) under Ictidomys tridecemlineatus (thirteen-lined ground squirrel). Its description in RNAcentral is "lncRNA (ENSSTOG00000004996.3)". Lineage: Eukaryota; Metazoa; Chordata; Mammalia; Rodentia; Sciuridae. The record is from RNAcentral.
CAGAGAAUACCUCCUGGCCAAAGCUGUUUGGAGCCAGAGUCACCAUGGUGGGAGGAGGAGGAGGAGGAAAUGGUGAAGGAGGACAAAUGUUUUGCAAGGCCACAGGAGGAGGUCUCCUUUUGCCCCCCUGAUACCCGAUCUUGCCUGCUGGGUCCCCAGAAUCGGCCCCUGGACCCCAAAGUCUUGUGUAUUCUCCGUGGUUUGUUCCUGGAUCACCAUCCUGGGAGCACCGCCCUCCACUUGCUAUUGGUGGACUGCCAGGCUGCAGGCCUCCUAGGAGUGACCAAAAUUCAGCGAGCUGCCAUGGGCGUCGCUUCGGGCCUGGAACUGCUCACGCUUCCCCAUGGGCAUCGCUUGAGGCUGGAACUGCUGGAGAGGUGAUUCAUCGACCUGGAACCUUGGUCCUGGAGGGGAAGUGGGUACGGG